GUGACAAAGAGACAGGACAGUGUAGUAUCAUUCCUAAAAAACACACGAAGUUACGGUUCUAAUUCAAACCCUAAUUCCGAUUGAACCUUAAGUAAUCGUUUCUACAAUAGAAUCCGGAACAGCUAGGGUUUUGAAAUCAAACACAAAGCUUAUAAAAAGGAUUAAACUUUAGGUCUAGAAACAAAAACCCUUGAAGAAUACGAAAGAACUAUCUUAGUCUAAAGAGGAAAUUUG
Molecule: long non-coding RNA, 234 nt
Organism: Arabidopsis thaliana (thale cress)
Lineage: Eukaryota; Viridiplantae; Streptophyta; Magnoliopsida; Brassicales; Brassicaceae
Product: other RNA
Exons: 1
Source: RefSeq